Manis javanica (Malayan pangolin) is the source of this 2300-nucleotide long non-coding RNA. RefSeq lists it as uncharacterized. The record is from RefSeq and is a predicted model, not a curated record. Lineage: Eukaryota; Metazoa; Chordata; Mammalia; Pholidota; Manidae.
GUGAGGGGCUAAGGGCUCUGCAGCCCCACAUCGUUACCGGCGAGCAGCCAGCAGUUAUUCACCGCCUACAGGACACCAAUUCUGAGGGAAAAACUCAAGAGUCAAAGGAGGGCCAGAGUUAAGGCUUAUGCAUCUGCGAAGGAGGGAGGCCGUGGGUCCGGGGCUCCGGCAGAGAAGCCUCUGAGAGAGAGACUCGGAAGGAGAGUCAAGGGCACACCGGGAUGCGGAGAGGCACCAGGGUGGGGUCCAAAAAUCGAGGCGCCUACUUGUAUCGAUUUCAGCCCCAAGAGGAGCCCCGGCUGAGGACAGGCAGAGAGGGUUUGUGGAGCGCAGUGCUUCCAAUACUCUCUGUUCGAAAAUCACUGGAAUUUCUUCUCUGCCCCCAGGAACACCCAGUGGGUCGGCAGCUAGACUGGGACACUCCAAAGCACCCCCUGCAUCUGUGUGGGUGCCCGGGGAGGCCUCUCUCCAGGGGUCACAGCUUGACUGCUCAGCCAGCUGACUCCUCAACAUGCCCUUCGCCCUGGGGAGGCUCCUGAGGACGCCACAUAUCCUUCCACCUGGAAAACUGACCAGCCAAGCAGCCUGUCCUACAGGUGUGGCAAGCAAACCUGCAGGUUCCUGGCAAAGAAUCCAGCAGAAUCCAUCCAGGAGGCGGUCAAACAAUGCUGAAUGAAUGGGUGAGGCUCAGGGAACUCCUGGCCCUGAUGUGUUCUCAGAAUGUGUCCCUUCACUGGCGAUCCUGUGCCCGGAACCAUUUGCCAGCAUCCACCACUUAGAAAACGGUAAUUAGAAAGAUCAACUUACUACAAAGAAAGCUCAGGAGCCUAGAGCUCACCACGGCGGCUCCAGAGCUGCAAGAGCACAAGCCCAGAAGCAGCCUGGAGGCCAGAGAAGCUGCUGCUCCCCUGACGAGGGGCUGGGCUUGCUGCGUGUUCUCCUGAGGCCCCAGGGAGGGCCAGGCCCGCUGCACUUUCACACCAGGUCAGGAAGGAGGCCACGUGGAGCAGACCCAGGGCUGUGCCAGAAGGCUGCUUAGCUGGCGACACAGUGGAAUAAAGCCCCAUACUGCCGGGCUGAGGCUCCCCGGCUUCGUUCCUGUCUGGCACUUACGCCCUCUCCAAGUCUCUGUGCAUUUUUAAUGAGAAUGAGACAUUUAUCCCGCCUCUCUCAAAUGAAACACAUGAAUAAUGCAUUUGGAAAGCAGGUUAUAACUUGUACAUAUUUACAAAUGUAAGGCUUUAUGAUUAAAUUUCUAGAAGAGUAGAAGAAAAUGUAUAGGAGAGCUGUGUGUGUGUGUGCUAAUAACAACAAAUGAGGAUAAAACCACAAUCGAUAUUGUUUAAGAGCCGUUUUCUUUGCUACACACAAAAGCAAGCACGAGCUCAUUACGAGAAAGGUCGGCUGCUGUUAGCAUUAGUAUUAUUCCCAUUUGUACAAAGGAGAGAGCAGAUUCAGAAAGACUAAGUAACUUGCCCAAUGAUGCUCAGCUAGGACUGCCCUGCCUGGGUGUCCGAGGCCGACUGGGACCUGGGCCUGUCUGACACCAGGCCUGCAUCCUCAACCACAGGCCUCUCAGGGCACCAACUCUCGAGUGUCGACAUCGUCAUCUCUUUACCAAGAAAGUAACAAGUUAGAUUAAAGUGAAGGACUCAGUGCUCAGAACUAAACUCAGAGUGGAGCUGAUUCUCAGACAAAAGGCACACUUUCCUGGUGCAACCCCCUCUUCUGCUGUUAUCUAGAAAGUACAGGCCAUGUUAUCUUAAGUCACUUAUAUCAGCCCAUUUUGCUAAUAAUGGGAAAUUUAUUCAGCAAUUACUAGGUUAUUUUUGAAAUUUUGCAUAGUUGCUAGUAAAUUUAUAUCAUGUAAACUAGCUUCAAAAACGGUGCAAGAGGUGAGGGCCUGCAGGUCCUAUGGUCAGAGCCUUCUCCCAUUGCAAAGUCCCUCCCCGCUGGCCCCAGGAAUAAUCUUUUUGGAUGAAAGUCUCUCCUUGCUAAAUAAAUAAGCAAACAAAAAGCAACAAGUAAAAAAUGCAAAAAACAAGUAAAAAAAGCAACAAGUAAAAAAUGCAUGUUUUCUAGGACCUUAAGUACUUAUUAGUAUCUUUUCUUACCUAUAGGAAACUUAUUCAUAGAUUACGUGAAAUAAACCUAUUUUAUACAUUUUUGCUCUGAUGAUCCUCUUAAGAAAAUUGGUCUACUGAACUUCAAAAAGAAAAAAAAAAUCACAGUGGGAGGGGUUCAAUCCUAAAAAUGAGAACAAACAAAACCGGAAUCCCAGAAGGGCAAACUUGCCAAAC